Molecule: non-coding RNA, 92 nt
Organism: Triangularia setosa
Lineage: Eukaryota; Fungi; Ascomycota; Sordariomycetes; Sordariales; Podosporaceae
Source: the annotation of a GenBank genome assembly
GGUUGUGUAGUGUAGUGGUUAUCACUCUGGAUUUUGAUGAUAUCUCUCAAUCAAACUUUCCAGUAACCCCGGUUCGAACCCGGGCACGACCU